GACGAACGCUGGCGGCGUGCUUAACACAUGCAAGUCGAACGGAAAGGCCCUGCUUUUGUGGGGUGCUCGAGUGGCGAACGGGUGAGUAACACGUGAGUAACCUGCCCUUGACUUUGGGAUAACUUCAGGAAACUGGGGCUAAUACCGGAUAGGAGCUCCUGCUGCAUGGUGGGGGUUGGAAAGUUUCGGCGGUUGGGGAUGGACUCGCGGCCUAUCCGCUUGUUGGUGGGGUAGUGGCUUACCCAGGCUUCGCCGGGCAGCCGGCCUGAGAGGGUGACCGGCCACAUUGGGACUGAGAGACGGCCCAGACUCCUACGGGAGGCAGCAGUGGGGAAUAUUGCACAAUGGGCGGAAGCCUGAGGCAGCAACGCCGCGUGCGGGAUGACGGCCUGCGGGUUGUAAACCGCUUUCGCCUGUGACGAAGCGUGAGUGACGGUAAUGGGUAAAGAAGCACCGGCUAACUACGUG
This 468-nucleotide ribosomal RNA is filed under the name uncultured bacterium. Its description in RNAcentral is "partial 16S ribosomal RNA". It matches the Rfam family "Bacterial small subunit ribosomal RNA", at positions 28 to 507 of the family's 1533-position model. The record is from RNAcentral.